UUGCUGCUAUUAUUUCUGUGGCGAUGCAGACUUGUGGUGACGAAGAGCAAGGCCGAGAAGGACUCCAACAAGCCCAAGCGCCCUCUGAGCGCCGUCUUAGUCCUCAUGGACAGCUUCAGGAAGGACUCCAACUUCAAGCAUGUCCCCAUGGUUGGCAAGGGCGGUGGUGAGAAGUGGAAGUAUCUUGAGUGAUGUUGAGAAGGCUCCCUAAUUGCCAAGGCCAAGUACACCAAGAAGA
This is a non-coding RNA of Triticum urartu, 238 nucleotides long. The record is from RefSeq and is a predicted model, not a curated record. NCBI's taxonomy places the organism in Eukaryota, Viridiplantae, Streptophyta, Magnoliopsida, Poales, Poaceae.